CAUGUCGUUGAAACGUACAGCAGCGACGUCCCAGGGACGUCGUGCCAGUGAGCAAACGAGCAAUCUACUACGUAUCCCCGAUGAAUUUGGAUUACAUCGCCAAUACAUCGUGGCGACUGGAAGAUCAGAAAACGUCGGCAGGAGGUGGGAGAGAAGGCAAUGCAGAGAUGAAGGACAUCAUACCACAAUAAUAGUUGUGUGUAUAAGCCUGAUCAACAAAUGAAAAGAGUCAGAUAAGAGGAAAGAGUUUGAAAACUGAUUUGACGACCACUGCUGAAUUGGCCUGCUAAGAGGAAGAGGCACUAAUGAUUCCAGAAGAGGAAGCCAAAGAAGAAGACCUACACAGACUUUGAAAUGGAUCUCUCAAUUGCCAUGAUGACCAAGAUAUUCAACGGGAAAAUGUGGAAAGCUACCAUAUUCCACAGUCAUUACUUUGCCAAAUCAUCUGUGCAGCACCACUGAGGGACCCUACUUUCCUGAGUACGAAGCCGGCCAUCAAGGAGUUCCCCGACUGGCAACAGACUGGAGCAGAGGCUGUAGCAGGGACAGCAUUUUUUUUUGCUACUGAAAUAAUUUACAUUAUGAUAGAAAGUGGACAAUAUAGUGUGACAAUUAGUUUUUGUUCUCCAACAUGUACACACUGCUGUUGUGAAGCAGUGAUAUACAGCUCACGAGUGUGUAGUCAAAAGAGAGAAAUACUGUAUAUUUCAGCGACUCCUACAGAUUAAGAAAAAUAAUGAAUUUUGUUAAUAAAUAAAU
Molecule: long non-coding RNA, 759 nt
Organism: Perca fluviatilis (European perch)
Lineage: Eukaryota; Metazoa; Chordata; Actinopteri; Perciformes; Percidae
Exons: 5
Source: RefSeq, a predicted model, not a curated record